RNAcentral lists this non-coding RNA (21 nucleotides) under Caenorhabditis elegans. The record is from RNAcentral. Lineage: Eukaryota; Metazoa; Nematoda; Chromadorea; Rhabditida; Rhabditidae.
UCAAAGCAAAACGUUUUCUGG